This 433-nucleotide ribosomal RNA is filed under the name uncultured bacterium. RNAcentral describes it as "partial 16S ribosomal RNA". It matches the Rfam family "Bacterial small subunit ribosomal RNA", at positions 29 to 507 of the family's 1533-position model. The record is from RNAcentral.
AACGAACGCUGGCGGCAUGCCUAACACAUGCAAGUCGAACGAGACCUUCGGGUCUAGUGGCGCACGGGUGCGUAACGCGUGGGAACCUGCCCUUAGGUUCGGAAUAAAUCCCCGAAAGGGGUGCUAAUACCGGAUAAUGUCUUCGGACCAAAGAUUUAUCGCCUUUGGAUGGGCCCGCGUUGGAUUAGCUAGUUGGUAGGGUAAAAGCCUACCAAGGCGACGAUCCAUAGCUGGUCUGAGAGGAUGAUCAGCCACACUGGGACUGAGACACGGCCCAGACUCCUACGGGAGGCAGCAGCGGGGAAUAUUGGACAAUGGGCGAAAGCCUGAUCCAGCAAUGCCGCGUGAGUGAUGAAGGCCUUAGGGUUGUAAAGCUCUUUUACCCGGGAUGAUAAUGACAGUACCGGGAGAAUAAGCUCCGGCUAACUCCGUG